Molecule: ribosomal RNA, 468 nt
Filed under: uncultured bacterium
Lineage: Bacteria
Description: partial 16S ribosomal RNA
Rfam family: Bacterial small subunit ribosomal RNA
Source: RNAcentral
GACGAACGCUGGCGGCGUGCUUAACACAUGCAAGUCGAACGGAAAGGCCCUGCUUUUGUGGGGUGCUCGAGUGGCGAACGGGUGAGUAACACGUGAGUAACCUGCCCUUGACUUUGGGAUAACUUCAGGAAACUGGGGCUAAUACCGGAUAGGAUCUCCUGCUGCAUGGUGGGGGUUGGAAAGUUUCGGCGGUUGGGGAUGGACUCGCGGCUUAUCAGCUUGUUGGUGGGGUAGUGGCUUACCAAGGCUUUGACGGGUAGCCGGCCUGAGAGGGUGACCGGCCACAUUGGGACUGGGAUACGGCCCAGACUCCUACGGGAGGCAGCAGUGGGGAAUAUUGCACAAUGGGCGGAAGCCUGAUGCAGCAACGCCGCGUGCGGGAUGACGGCCUUCGGGUUGUAAACCGCUUUCGCCUGUGACGAAGCGUGAGUGACGGUAAUGGGUAAAGAAGCACCGGCUAACUACGUG